Molecule: ribosomal RNA, 585 nt
Filed under: uncultured soil bacterium
Lineage: Bacteria
Description: bacterial SSU rRNA
Rfam family: Bacterial small subunit ribosomal RNA
Source: RNAcentral
GCUGGCGGCGUGCUUAACACAUGCAAGUCGAACGGGGUCCAUCCAAUGGCAACAUUGGUGAAGACCUAGUGGCGAACGGGUGAGUAACACGUGAGGAACCCACCCCGAUCUCAGGAAUAACAGUGGGAAACCACUGCUAAUACCGGAUGCCUUCCUCGAGCCUCCUGGCUCGGCGAAGAAAGGGUUACCGGAUCGGGAGGGCCUCGCGGCCUAUCAGCUUGUUGGCGGGGUAACGGCCCACCAAGGCAGCGACGGGUAGCUGGUCUGAGAGGAUGAUCAGCCACACUGGGACUGAGACACGGCCCAGACUCCUACGGGAGGCAGCAGUGGGGAAUCUUGCGCAAUGGGCGAAAGCCUGACGCAGCAACGCCGCGUGGGGGAUGAAGGCCCUCGGGUUGUAAACCCCUUUCAGCAGGAACGAAAAUGACGGUACCUGCAGAAGAAGGCCCGGCCAACUACGUGCCAGCAGCCGCGGUAACACGUAGGGGCCAAGCGUUGUCCGGAUUUAUUGGGCGUAAAGAGCUCGUAGGCGGUUGGGUAAGUCGGGUGUGAAAACUCCAGGCUCAACUUGGAGACGCCACCCGA